GGAGAGAUGUCUGAGCGGUUGAAAGUGCCGGUCUUGAAAACCGGUGUUGCGCAAGCAACCGUGGGUUCGAAUCCCACUCUCUCCGCCA
Molecule: transfer RNA, 88 nt
Filed under: Burkholderiales bacterium
Lineage: Bacteria; Pseudomonadati; Pseudomonadota; Betaproteobacteria; Burkholderiales
Also listed under: 1 other name
Description: tRNA-Ser
Rfam family: tRNA
About the family: Transfer RNA (tRNA) molecules are approximately 80 nucleotides in length. Their secondary structure includes four short double-helical elements and three loops (D, anti-codon, and T loops). Further hydrogen bonds mediate the characteristic L-shaped molecular structure. tRNAs have two regions of fundamental functional importance: the anti-codon, which is responsible for specific mRNA codon recognition, and the 3' end, to which the tRNAs corresponding amino acid is attached (by aminoacyl-tRNA synthetases). tRNAs cope with the degeneracy of the genetic code in two manners: having more than one tRNA (with a specific anti-codon) for a particular amino acid; and 'wobble' base-pairing, i.e. permitting non-standard base-pairing at the 3rd anti-codon position.
Source: RNAcentral